This 519-nucleotide ribosomal RNA is filed under the name Triticum aestivum (bread wheat). Its description in RNAcentral is "partial small subunit ribosomal RNA". The record is from RNAcentral. Lineage: Eukaryota; Viridiplantae; Streptophyta; Magnoliopsida; Poales; Poaceae.
AUGAAGAGGGACCUCCUGGAGGCAUCCCCGUACCUGCACGACGACUGCCUCAUCAUCCACUGCGACAUCACCGUCCUCCUCAACAAAAUACCGGUCGUGGCCACACCCAACGCCAAGACGCCGCCCGAGAUCCUGGGGCCGCCAUCGGACCUGUCCAACAAUCUCGCAAAGCUGCUGGAGGGGAAGAAAGGAGCGGACGUGGUGAUCAAAGUUGGUGGGAACGUGCUCGCGAUGCGCUCACCGGUGUUCGACGCAGAGCUCUACGGGCCAAUGUGGGACGACAAGAAACAGUGUCUACAGAUCGCCGACAUGGAGCCUGAUGUAUUCAGAGCACUGCUUCACUUCAUAUAUAUAGAUUCGUUGCCUGCCAUGGAUGAUAACAACAAGGUGAUUAUUAGGCACUUGCUUGUGGCUGCAGACAGGUAUGCUAUGGGAAGGAUGAAGCUCAUGUGUGAGAGUUUUCUGUGCAAGAGCCUCGAUGCCAAGAGUGUCGUAGCCACAUUGGGUCAUUGGCUCUAG